GGGAAUAUUUAACUCUACAAUUGAAGUAAAUAAUUGUAGAUCAUGCAGGCCGGUGUCACACAGUGGAUCACAUGGAUCAAUCAGAAUGGAAAACAAUGGCAUCCCUACUUACUUGGUGAGCAAUGCAGGGGUUCAGUCAUACAGAAACAACCAUAUCCAGAGAUCCAUGGUCAUACCAAGAAAUGCAACAGUUACUCAUUAUCACAAUAAUAUUCAGCAAGGUGUUUCAAAAAUAUGGAUGUGUAAUCAUAAAGAACGGCCAGCCUGUUAUCACUGAAGAAAUCAUGAUUUAUUCAACUUAAAAGUAAAGGGGAAAUAUAAUCCAAAGAAAGUCUUUCAGGGUCUUGAACCAUCAGUUCACUCACAGACCAUAUUUGCAACGCUUACAGGCAGCUAUUUUAAUCAUGCAUGGCCAGCUUUUGCAAUAGAAAAUGUAAAAAUCUUACUGAUUUUGUUUUACAAACUAACAUUUAAUUGGCACAUUUCAAAAUGUUACUGUGUUUCAUAUCUUAAGCAGCGUGUGAAUAUGUCAAAGUUUCAUGAUUAGUUCACCUGAAUUAGAUGAUAUGAUACUGUCUAUUGUCUAUUUGCAUUACUCCUGUAAUUUGUUACGGCUAUUUCAUAAAUGUUUGUACCAUA
This is a long non-coding RNA of Carassius auratus (goldfish), 639 nucleotides long. RefSeq lists it as uncharacterized. The transcript is spliced from 3 exons. NCBI's taxonomy places the organism in Eukaryota, Metazoa, Chordata, Actinopteri, Cypriniformes, Cyprinidae. The record is from RefSeq and is a predicted model, not a curated record.